RNAcentral lists this long non-coding RNA (2151 nucleotides) under Sus scrofa (pig). Its description in RNAcentral is "lncRNA (ENSSSCG00050026133.1)". Lineage: Eukaryota; Metazoa; Chordata; Mammalia; Artiodactyla; Suidae. The record is from RNAcentral.
ACCCGGGCUCCGCUCUUGCCUUCUCCACACUUGUUUGGGUGAUCUGUGUUUGUAAACACUCUGGCGGACCAGAGGGAAGUCCGUCCCCCAAUGCUGGUGGACCGUGGAAUUCGGCUGUGUCCUGAGGCUACCCCAGAGACCCCACGCCGAGUCCGUCCCGGAGCGCGUCUCGGUGGCCGCCGCGCCGUGCGACUGGAGGGAUGCUAACGUGGAGCGAGCGCCGUGUCAGCCCCGGCGUGCGUGCGUGUGUGGGAGCGCGCGUGUGUUUCCCUGACACGGGGAACAGUUAUGAAUCGGGGGUGUGUGUUUGCCUCCAGAGACCUGGCAAGGUGCGGAACCCUCCAGAAGUGCGGUCAAGCGGCGUCAGCGGUGGCGGCAGCGGAGACGGCGAGCCAGGAACCGCCCCCCGCGUCCCCAACUUCCCGGUGAUGCGGCGGAACCCCCGGAAAAAGUUUGCAAACUUCCAGCGGGCGCGGCGAGGACGCCGGGUCACCUAGGGGGCGGAUGGACGGGCGCGCGGGGGGCUCGCUCCCUCCCCGGUGCUGAGCCUGCUGCUGCCACCUCUCCCGCAGGGCUGCCGGCCCCAGGUGGUGGGCGCGCGCGCCCUGGGAGGGGACGUCGCUCUUGGAGGGCACUUUGCUUUCACUCCGGGCGCGGAGGGCUGGAGAGUGGCGAGGCUCUUCUCGCCUUCAUUCCUCCAGCCACCUCUUGCCUCCGUCCGGUUCUCGUUGGCAUCAUUACCUCUUCUCCGCUGCUGCCCCAAAUGACAGCUCCCGCUUUUGCCGCGGCGGCGCGGUGGCAGUUCCCAGGAUACGGCGGCGGCGAAGCCCUCUUCUCCAGGCAGAUUCUUCAAGGAAUCGCUUAAAACUUUUCACGACUGUCUUAGAGGGGCAAGACGCACGAAGCAACCAAAGAGAUGUUUUUUCCCCGUCGGCUGCAUCUCGCUUUUCUUUUGCUAUAGGUUUAUUGGGGGGGGGGGUGCUAAUCUGGUAGAUGAAGCCCCCGAUCUUGAUCUUGUCCACUCCUCCCUAACUUUCCUUGAACGGGUGCCGCCCCCACUUGAGGCUGGUACAGGGCCGGGAACUCAAGUGGGUCUCUUGUGUAUUUCGUUGUCAGAGCCCGCAGAGUGUAUGAUUUUUAUUUUUCCCUCCCUCUCUGACAUGUGUCAAGGAAUAAAGGCUGGAGACAGGUCCAUUACGUCAUUCUGCAGGCCAGUAAGUGUUUGAUUAACAGCUUCAGAUACUCAAGGGUUAGGGGCUUAGAAGUGCUGACAAAGCAACUAUGCUUUCCAUCCCCAGCCCCCACCAUACUCGUACAAUCGCCGAUUCCCUGGGCAUCUUUAUUACCCUCUCCCUCUGGACCCCUCCUUCUCCGCCCGCUCUCUCCCGCCCAUACCGUUAUCACUCUGGCCCCGCCUCCGCCUUUUACUGCUUUCCCUGGGGCGGUCACAGUCCCUGGAGUGUGGGUGAGAGCUUCUGGUGGCUGAGGGGGGCACAGUACCUGAUCUGCGGGCACACAAGCUGCCCUUUUCUAUUAUUUAAGAAAGGCGCUAGCGAGCCCUCUCCUCUAGGGCAAAAAUAACUUAGUCCUGAUAGAAAAGGCAUCUCAGGAAAUGUUUAGAGACGCUACGGUGGAUAAUACCACGUCCCUGUGUUGACUUAGGAAAACAACACACCCACAGCAAACAAAGUACUUAAUUUUACAUAACGCCUUCCUCUUUCCUUCCAGCAGUUAGCCGGAGGGGGAUGGCGAGGUUGUGCUGACUAAAUCAAAUUUAUCCGAAAGGCUCAAGAUUAAACGUUUCAUUUCCAAAGUGAGGGAAUGUGAGUCUUGGAACCCGAAUACUAUACAAUAAAUUGGGGCGUGUGUUACUUUCUUAAUCUUAACCUUAAGUUUCUUUAUUUAAAGAGGAAGUUAAGUAUGGAAGUCACUGAAUCGAGCCAGAAUCUCCGUAUCUGGCAGUUGAAAUAAAAAUACUGUUUGUGACACGUUUAAGGGAUAAAAGUAAAAAGAUCUCCGAGGGGUGGGGGUGCGGGGGUGCAGCAGGAGUCAAAUAGAAGAUUUCCUAACAGGAUUUUGGAUGGAGGAGGGCAGAGAGUUUCAGGGCUCUCUGAUUUGGAGUUGGUGAAAGUUAAAUAAAGGAAAAUUUAU